RNAcentral lists this long non-coding RNA (389 nucleotides) under Monodelphis domestica (gray short-tailed opossum). RNAcentral describes it as "lncRNA (ENSMODG00000041073.1)". The record is from RNAcentral. Lineage: Eukaryota; Metazoa; Chordata; Mammalia; Didelphimorphia; Didelphidae.
GGCUUGGCCACACUCCCGGCUCAGGGUCUUGUCUGGUUCCCUUUGCAGAGAUGGGCCGCAGCCGGAAAGCAGCACCCCGAAUCCAUCAGGCUACCUCCCGCAAGCCUAGGAAGAGCCUAAACUGGGUGGAGCAGAUCAACGCCAGAGAGACCAAGUCGGGCAGCUCCAAGAAGAGUGUUCUGGCCAUCUCCAAGCCAUCGCAGCAGCUGGUGCGCUGGACCCGACCAGGAAUGACAUGGCUGUUCUGGGCAACACGGCGUAUUUCUAGUGCCGGGGGCACGGUGCAGGGGAGCGCGGGGGAGCCAGCAGGGUCUUUGCCCCAUCCCGCUGGCUGGCUGGCCGUCACACAACAGCAUCCUUGACGAAUAAACCAGGCAGCUUUUAGGCCA